GGAGGUGACUCUCUCAGGAGGUUGAAUAGGGUUAGAAAGACGGCAUGACUAUAUCUCUAAUGUAGACCUAAAGUGCUUCCUAGAGCUAGGGACCAGGAUUCUAAAUGAGACCUGAGGGAAUGGAGCUGUUGUUGACAAGAGCUGUUAGACAAACAGGACAUGGAGGAGGAGUGGUCAUGCAUACCUCAAUGGGACAAAGUAUCUCCUCUGAGACUUCAGAAAAUCCUUUUCUUCUGGAGCCACUCUGUUCUGGAUUACCCUGAGAUUUUAAUGAGAUAAAGUCUAGAGAUGUAUAUAACUUUUCUGCAUCAUUUUGGAAUUUUAAUGAGAUGAAACGAGACCCAGAGACACCUGUUCUAGACCACUUUGGGAUCUUAAUGAGGAUGCAAACAGGUUGAAGACAAGAGCUCUCUUUAAUGGAACCUGAACAGUGCCUAACUCCUGUAGAUAUUCACUGAAUGUUAAAUAACAACAGUGAUCAUGUAAUAAUGAUGCCCAAUUCACUUGGGAGAGAAUACCAAAUAGCUUGGAAUUUUCCUGUUACUGCCAGCAUGGCCUGAGAGCAUCCUGAGAGAGGUCAAAAGUCCGUCUGACUCACCUGUGCUGAGUGACUUGAAUGCCAUCUAAUCUAACUUCAAGUGUAAGAAUUCUGGACCCUUAUUUGAAGUCUCUCCUGCUUUGUUGGGCAAAAGUAAUGAGAAACUCCACUUGGCUUCAGAAUGCAGUGUCAACUCCACAUGAAUCAAAGCAAUAAAAAAGAAUCAACUCAGAGCAGGCUGAGCUAUGUGAGGUGAGGACAGUCUGUUCUGAAGGUCUACACAUUAAUGCUUCCUAUUGGGAAUUCAAAUCGGCAAUUUGUUCUUCUUCUGGUUGUUUGAAUCUUCAAAAUAGAGGGAAGACACCUGGAUGAAACAUUUUCACAGACUCUGCAAUUCCCUUAAGAGGAUCCCAGAGCCCUUAAGCUUCUCUUAGAUUCCUCUGAUUUUUUUCAGCCCAAGGACUGUUACCACAUGUCUUCCAUCUUGCCCACAAUUUUAGCAGAUCAUCAGGAUACUUGCCAACAAGGUCACAGUGGACUCCAUGGAGCAACUGCCCUCAGGAGGCAACAGGUCACAGUGUUUGGACACCGCAUGAACAUGCCAAUUUCCUGUGUUGUAAUAUUUUUAUGCACUUUAAGAAGACCACCAGAAACAGCAGAGUGAGUGAAUGACUGAGGCGCAUAUUGGACAAAAAUCACUUAUCCAAGACCACGUUACUACAACCCCAGGGCACAGAAGCUAAGUCUUCCUAUUGUACUGAACUCAGUUGACUGGAAUUUGUUCAGGAAAGCAUGAAGUCAAAUGGAAGCUAGUCCGUGACUGGAUUCAUCUUUUGGUAAAAAACGAAGAGGAGACCCCAUAUCCUGGAGGUUCUUGCUUAACCCUGUCCCUAAUAAGACCUAACUUUAUGAGUCUUCUCCUUAGAGGCAGUCCUAGGGUAAGAGUGAUUAUUCCUGUGAGCCUUGUAGGUACUUUCGAAUCAAGGAAAUUAGUAGUUGAUUGCUAAUUAAUUCAGUAUUUAAUGAAUUUAAGUACCUAGGCAAUGAGGCCACAAUAGCAAAUAAGACACAGACCUGUUUUCAAAAAGUAGCCUGUAAAUAAGAUAUUUUUUUCUGCCAUGGUGGCAAAGGCAUGACUAUGGUGAUGAACAUUCAUAGGCUCACCUUCUAGCUCUGUUGUAUGUUAACUGUGUGAACUUGGGUCAAGUUAUGAAAACUCUAAGAACUCUCAAAACUCCUGAUCUGUUUUAACAUGAAAGUAAAGAUAUCUAAUUGAAUUGUUGUGAAACUUAAAUGUAAUGUGACAUCCAAAGAAUGUAGCCCAAAGUUGGAUUUCAGUAAGUGAUAAAUAGAAGUAUUUAAACAUGGGUAUGGUAUGUUCUGUAACAGAAGAAUGUCUAUGUGCUGGGGAUACCUAGAGACAGUGAAAAUUCUGUCUGGCCUGCGAAUUAU
RNAcentral lists this long non-coding RNA (1990 nucleotides) under Homo sapiens (human). Its description in RNAcentral is "HSALNT0311131". The record is from RNAcentral. Lineage: Eukaryota; Metazoa; Chordata; Mammalia; Primates; Hominidae.